GGUUUUGAGAUUGAAAUUCUUCAGGGAUAAAGGGUUUUGAGCUUGGAAUUCUUUAGGGGUGAAGGGUUUUGAGCUUGGAAUUCUUCAGGGGUAAAGGGUUUUGAGCUUGGAAUUCUUCAGGGGUAAAAGGUUUUGAGCUUGGAAUUCUUCAGGGGUAAAGUGUUUUGAGUUUGGAAUUCUUCUGGGGUAAAUGGUUUUGAGCUUGGAAUUCUUCAGGGGUAAAGGGUUUUGAGCUUGGAAUUCUUCAGGGGUAAAGAGGUUUGAGAUUGAAAUUUUUCAGAGCUUGGAAUUCUUCAGGGGUGAAGGGUUUUGAGCUUGGAAUUCUUCUGGGGUAAAAGGUUUUGAGCUUGAAAUUCUUCAGGGGUAAAGGGUUUUGAGCUUGGAAUUCUUUAGGGGUAAAGGGUUUUGAGCUUGGAAUUCUUCAGGGGUAAAGGGUUUUGAGCUUGGAAUUCUUCAGGGGUAAAAGGUUUUGAGCUUGGAAUUCUUCAGGGGUAAAGUGUUUUGAGUUUGUAAUUCUUCUGGGGUAAAUGGUUUUGAGCUUGGAAUUCUUCAGGGGUAGAAGGUUUUGAGAUUGAAAUUCUUCAGGGGUAAAGGGUUUUGAGCUUGGAAUUCUUUAGGGGUGAAGGGUUUUGAGCUUGGAAUUCUUCAGGGGUAAAAGGUUUUGGGCUUGGAAUUCUUCAGGGGUAAAGGGUUUUGAGCUUGGAAUUUUGGAAUUCUUCAGGGGUAAAAGGUUUUGAGCUUGAAAUUCUUCAGGGGUAAAGGGUUUUGAGCUUGGAAUUCUUUAGGGGUGAAGGGUUUUGAGCUUGGAAUUCUUCAGGGGUAAAAGGUUUUGAGCUUGGAAUUCUUCAGGGGUAAAGGGUUUUGAGCUUGGAAUUCUUCAGGGGUGAAGAGGUUUGAGAUUGAAAUUUUUCAGAGCUUGGAAUUCUUCAGGGGUGAAGGGUUUUGAGCUUGGAAUUCUUCAGGGGUAAAAGGUUUUGAGCUUGGAAUUCUUCAGGGGUAAAGAGUUUUGAGCUUGGAAUUUUGGAAUUCUUCAGGGGUAAACAGUUUUGAGCUUGGAAUUCUUCAGGUGUAUGACAAUGAAAAACAUGUAUCCUCGACAAGGGAGGUACGGAUAUUAAAUGGAAUAGCCCAUUUUGAACAUACUAUAGAUGACUUUCUUUCUUUAUAGUAAUUAUAUAUAUAUAUAU
This 1187-nucleotide long non-coding RNA is filed under the name Paramuricea clavata. Lineage: Eukaryota; Metazoa; Cnidaria; Anthozoa; Malacalcyonacea; Plexauridae. The record is from RNAcentral.